This 459-nucleotide ribosomal RNA is filed under the name uncultured bacterium. Its description in RNAcentral is "partial 16S ribosomal RNA". It matches the Rfam family "Bacterial small subunit ribosomal RNA", at positions 339 to 795 of the family's 1533-position model. The record is from RNAcentral.
CUACGGGUGGCUCCAGUGAGGAAUAUUGGUCAAUGGGCGCGAGCCUGAACCAGCCAUCCCGCGUGCAGGAUGACGGCCCUAUGGGUUGUAAACUGCUUUUCUAUGCCAAGAAACCUGAUUACGUGUAAUCAGUUGCCGGUAGCAUAGGAAUAAGCAUCGGCUAACUCCGUGCCAGCAGCCGCGGUAAUACGGAGGAUGCAAGCGUUAUCCGGAUUCAUUGGGUUUAAAGGGUGCGCAGGUGGGCUUGUAAGUCAGUGGUGAAAUGCUGCCGCUUAACGGUAGAACUGCCAUUGAUACUGCGAGUCUUGAGUAUGGUUGAGGUAGGCGGAAUGUGUUGUGUAGCGGUGAGAUGCAUAGAUAUGACACAGAACGCCAAUUGCGAAGGCAGCUUACUAAGCCAUUACUGACGCUGAGGCACGAAAGCGUGGGGAGCGAACAGGAUUAGAUACCCUAGUAGUC